GAUGAAGAACGCAGCGAAAUGCGAUACUUGGUGUGAAUUGCAGAAUCCCGUGAACCAUCGAGUCUUUGAACGCAAGUUGCGCCCGAAGCCAUUAGGCCGAGGGCACGCCUGUCUGGGUGUCACACGUCGUUGCCCCCCCAUCUACUCCUUCGGGAUUGCGGGGGGCGGAUGAUGGCCUCCCGUGCGCCUCGUCGCGCGGUUGGCAUAAAUGCCAAGUCCUCGGCGACGCACGCCACGACAAUCGGUGGUUGCGAAACCUCGGUUGCCCGUCGUGUGCGGUCGUCGCGCAUCGAGGGCUCGAAAAAAUUGCCGGGCUCCGGCUCGGCUUUCAACGCGACCCCAGGUCAGGCGGGGUUACCCGCUGAAUUUAAGCAUAUCAAUAAGCGGAGGA
This 391-nucleotide unclassified non-coding RNA is filed under the name soil metagenome. RNAcentral's name for it is "partial contains 5.8S ribosomal RNA, internal transcribed spacer 2, and large subunit ribosomal RNA". The stretch from base 1 to 122 matches the Rfam family "5.8S ribosomal RNA", at positions 35 to 154 of the family's 154-position model. The record is from RNAcentral.